Molecule: ribosomal RNA, 427 nt
Filed under: uncultured bacterium
Lineage: Bacteria
Description: bacterial SSU rRNA
Rfam family: Bacterial small subunit ribosomal RNA
Source: RNAcentral
UGAGGAAUUUUGGACAAUGGGCGCAAGCCUGAUCCAGCAAUGCCGCGUGCAGGAUGAAGGCCUUCGGGUUGUAAACUGCUUUUGUACGGAGCGAAAAGGUCUGCCCUAAUACGGUGGGCUCAUGACGGUACCGUAAGAAUAAGCACCGGCUAACUACGUGCCAGCAGCCGCGGUAAUACGUAGGGUGCGAGCGUUAAUCGGAAUUACUGGGCAUAAAGCGUGCGCAGGCGGUUAUAUAAGACAGAUGUGAAAUCCCCGGGCUCAACCUGGGACCUGCAUUCGUGACUGUAUAGCUAGAGUACGGUAGAGGGGGAUGGAAUUCCGCGUGUAGCAGUGAAAUGCGUAGAUAUGCGGAGGAACACCGAUGGCGAAGGCAAUCCCCUGGACCUGUACUGACGCUCAUGAACGAAAGCGUGGGGAGCAAACA